GUGAUGCAUGCAUUUUAUAUCAUCAUUUAGGAGUUAAAUCUGGAGAAAUUUGAUGUAUUUUGAUCAGAGUAGCCAUUUGGAGGAGAUUAAAAUCGAAUUGCAAAAAAAAAUUUUGAAGUUGAGAAAAAAAAUGGCCGAGAGCGACACAACCCGCGACACAACUGACUCGGCUUAUGUCGUUUUUACUGGAAAAUUUUUUGACGUGGCAUUUCCGUUACUCCAGCCUUUUUACCUCACUUUUUCUAGAUCCUUCCCCCUUUUACCCAUUCUAGAACAAUCCCUUAGCCUAUAUAAAGACCCAUUUUAUCACUUUCUUGGGAUAUAGAGAGCAUAGAGAGCAUAGAGAGCAUAGAGAGCAUAGAGAGCAAGGGAGGCAUUUUUAGAAAGAUAGAAAGAGAGCAAGGGAGGCAUUUUUAGAAAGAUAGAAAGAGGGAAAGGGAGGAGCAUCUUCUGCAUCUUCUUCCAGUGACAAGGAUCAAGUUUCUGCACUUUUCUGCAGAGAUCCUGCUGCAAAUUUGCUGGGUUUUUCUACCCCUUUUAGCUUACAUUUCCAUUAUUUCUUCAUUUCUUCAUUUGGGUUUGUCUUUAAACAAUGAUUUGUGAGUAGUUGAUUGAGAUUCUAGAGAUGGGUUUGUAAAUAUUGAUUUGUUUUGUGGUUUUGAACUGAUUUAGCCAUUUAAAUGAAGAUUGUUAUAUUUUGAUUUA
Long non-coding RNA from Hevea brasiliensis (rubber tree), 705 nucleotides. RefSeq lists it as uncharacterized. Lineage: Eukaryota; Viridiplantae; Streptophyta; Magnoliopsida; Malpighiales; Euphorbiaceae. The transcript has 2 exons. The record is from RefSeq and is a predicted model, not a curated record.